GACAGCAGACUUACUGGGGACACGCUGUAGAGCUCCGAUGAUGGCUGUUGGCCGAAUGGAUGAAUGGCUUCAUUAACUUCACUGCAACACGCAGGAGUCCUUGAUCUCCCCCCUUGAAAGGCUGGAGCACAGUGGCAUGAUCUCGGCUAACUGCAACCUCUGCCUGCCUCCCAGGUUCAAGCAAUUCUCCUGCCUCAGCCUCCCAAGUAGCUGGGAUUACAGAUCCUAGUCCACUGCCUGGAACAUGGAAGAUGCUCCAUAAUUGUUUGCUGAAGGAACGAGUGAUAACCAGAGAAGCCAGCUCCUGCUUCCUGAUUAAGGCAUGCAGUCAGGCCAGUGGGGAAAUGGGCCUCAUGGUGGAGCUUGCCUCUGCUGGAAGACUGACGGAGCCAGGGCUCUGCCUGCCACAAUUCAUGAGCUGGCCAGAGGUCUUUGGAUUCCUCCCAGUCAUUGCUGAGAUGAGUGAGGAUUGUUUCAGAAAAUCAGGCCUCCUCCUGGGGAAUGUGCCUCAGCUUCUGGUCAUUCAAGAAUGAGGUUGGAAGAGAUCAUUCUCCUGUUUGCAAAUGAGAAACAAGUAUAGGUGUGAAGAGACCUGUCCACAGCCAUUCAACAAAUGAAAAGUCCAAUCGAAGAUGGGACCUGAUUUCUUACACCCCAGGCUUGCUUGUUCCUUUAGGUCUUUACUGCAUCAUUCCAGAGAGACCUUCUGUGCCAUACGCUACAGUUCCACCCCCUCUUAUGCCGCUUAGCACUCACCAUUGCCCAACAUAGGAGCUGUUUUAUGUCUUCCUCUUGAUUCUCACUGUUUCCUGCUUUGGAGCAUAAGCUGGACAGAGAAUACCAUCGGAGCUCCUCUGGAACAUGUCCUUGUCUUCUCAGAGUGUGAAGUGUGUGUGUGACAGUGCUUUUCUGAGGACUCAGGUGACCUGGAGGCUGGAGAACAGCAUGGAGCAAGGAAAACAAAGACGAUGUGCUGGAGUGUAUGUUGCUUUCAUAAUUAUGUGAAAGAAAAUGUAGAGAAAUUUGAAAGGAGAACUGGUUAUCAGUAGUGCCAUCCUGCUCAAAUAUCUUCAAAUACACACCACCAUCCAUGUGUGGGUUGAUUAAGGAGCUGACGUUCAUUAGAUCUGCAGUCUCCUGACCUGAUGUGCAUCAGAAUCACUGGGAGAACAAACAAACAAAAAUGAAUCCAAAACAAGCAACGAACAGACAGAUUCUCAAGUCUUGCCAAGUCCAAAGAUUGAUUUGGUGGAGAAAUUGUACUUUGAAAGCUGCCCAGUUUACUGCCUUCAGAGAGUUUUCAGGAUGUGACAUAGGAAGGAAGAACCCAGGAGGGGACUGGUGGGUUUCCUGAGUUGAGAAGACAGACUGCUGAAAUGUUUCCAGGCAGACCAUGGCAGCUAGAGUUCAGAGGGCAGAGCACAAGAGACGAGAUUGCUGCAUAGAAAGAGAACUCCAGAGAUCUGCAGAGGGUCCUGCUUGAGGAUUCAGAAGUGAAAAACUGGAGAGAGAAAAAACAUGUUUCAGAAAAACUAUAGUACACCAGAUUCCGGCCUUGGCCAUUGGUUUUGAGUCUCUGCUGAUGACCCAAUACCUGAUUGAUUCUUGGCAUCAUUCACCUGGAUCCCUCAAGGCUUCAGACUUUGCAUUUCUGAUUACUUGGCUGACUCCACCCAGACCUGUGACUCAUGACUCAGCUGGUCCUGCGGCCCCCACCCAGAGGUGGACUAAGCACGCAAUAACCAUUUUCCACAUCUUCCACAUUUCCCCCAUGAUGGCAUCCCCAACCAAUCAGCAGCACCCAUUCCCUAGUCCCCUGCCCACCAAACUAUCCUUGAAAAACCCUAACCUCCAAGGGUUCAGGGAGACCAAUUUGAGUAAUAACUUCAUCUUCUGCAUGGUGUGGCUGGCCUCAUGUCAAUUAAACUCUUUCUUUACUGCAA
This is a long non-coding RNA of Homo sapiens (human), 1943 nucleotides long. Ensembl annotates it as long intergenic non-protein coding RNA 598. The record is from Ensembl. Lineage: Eukaryota; Metazoa; Chordata; Mammalia; Primates; Hominidae.